RNAcentral lists this ribosomal RNA (492 nucleotides) under uncultured bacterium. RNAcentral describes it as "partial 16S ribosomal RNA". It matches the Rfam family "Bacterial small subunit ribosomal RNA", at positions 29 to 507 of the family's 1533-position model. The record is from RNAcentral.
AGUGAACGCUGGCGGUAGGCCUAACACAUGCAAGUCGAACGGCAGCACAGUAAGAGCUUGCUCUUACGGGUGGCGAGUGGCGGACGGGUGAGGAAUACAUCGGAAUCUACUUUUUCGUGGGGGAUAACGUAGGGAAACUUACGCUAAUACCGCAUACGACCUACGGGUGAAAGCAGGGGAUCUUCGGACCUUGCGCGAUUGAAUGAGCCGAUGUCGGAUUAGCUAGUUGGCGGGGUAAAGGCCCACCAAGGCGACGAUCCGUAGCUGGUCUGAGAGGAUGGUCAGCCACACUGGAACUGAGACACGGUCCAGACUCCUGCGGGAGGCAGCAGUGGGGAAUGUUGGACAAUGGGCGCAAGCCUGAUACAGCCAUACCGCGUGGGUGAAGAAGGCCUUCGGGUUGUAAAGCCCUUUUGUUGGGAAAGAAAAGCAGCAGGUUAAUACCCCGCUGUUCUGACGGUACCCAAAGAAUAAGCACCGGCUAACUUCGUG